UACGGAGGGGGCUAGCGUUGCUCGGAAUUACUGGGCGUAAAGCGCGCGUAGGCGGACCUGCAAGUCGGGGGUGAAAGCCCGAGGCUCAACCUCGGAACUGCCUUCGAUACUGCGGGUCUCGAGUCCGAGAGAGGUGAGUGGAAUUCCUAGUGUAGAGGUGAAAUUCGUAGAUAUUAGGAAGAACACCAGUGGCGAAGGCGGCUCACUGGCGCGUUACUGACGCUGAGGUGCGAAAGCGUGGGGAGCAAACAGG
This 253-nucleotide ribosomal RNA is filed under the name uncultured bacterium. RNAcentral's name for it is "partial 16S ribosomal RNA". It matches the Rfam family "Bacterial small subunit ribosomal RNA", at positions 524 to 776 of the family's 1533-position model. The record is from RNAcentral.